CAAAUCCAAUUGUUAAUUUGUGGGUUAAAAAUUAAUUUUCAAAUAUAUUCUCCCUCUAAUCUGACUGAUACUGAGUUAUUUUGUAAAGAAGAACUUGCAAGAAUGUGAUUUUCUAUCAAUGUAAAUUUGAUUGAUGCAAAUCCCCAAAACUUGCUGUGUCUUCAGUGGAAUGUGCUUCUGAAAAGCACCAAUUCAGUAAUAUUCAGAUGUUUAUUUGUAACAAAAACUAAAAAUCAUGCAUAUUUUUUCUUCCACCUCACAGUUAUUCUCUGGUUUGUGUUUGUUGCUGUUCUCCUCUCGGCUUCUCCUUCCAAGCAGUUGCCACAGCACAGCAGCCUCCCCCAAUCCACAGCUGCAUACAGAUGGACUUAGCACAAGUUUUAUACCGAAUGCCCUUCCUGAUGCAAACCUUCCUGUUGUCAGCAACAAGGAGUGGGUUUCAAACGAGGACCAACUUGAAGGGCUACUUGCUGUCGCAUCUGAGCCAUUGACAACCUCAAUAAGAUAUCGACAGUGUUUUGAGACAAGAAGGAGGGUUGUCUAUUACUCAUGUGACGGAAUUUAUAGCGUUAUUCCAGAUGAUUCAUCUGCAGGACCAUGUACUUCACGUGUGCUGUACACCACUUCUGUCAUUAAGCAACAAAAGGCAUCAUGAAAGUCACCAUAACAAGACUUCACCUGAAUGUGAUGCAUAAAUCCAUUACAUGCAUGUAUUUUGUUCAUUUCACUUUUGUGCUACUCCAGGACAAUGCAACAGUGUUGACCUGACAGAUUUAGCCACAAGAUUUAGCAUUGUUCAUACAACUUGAACUUUUCACAUUUUGUCAUAAUUUCAAAUGACUUUGAAAACAUAAAGGAAAAUUUAAAUGAAAUUUGUUCUGUAUGCAUUACAUGGAUUUGUAUUGAUUUGUCUCUAUCAGUCUUAAUUUUGUGCCAGUUCCUUGUAAAACAACUUGAACUCCAUCAAGCUUGGUAGUGACUGUGAACAUUAAUUUUCUAGCUGUGACAUAGAUUCAAAAUUAGACUUAGGUCUCUAUUUUGACUGGGUCAUUUUAAGAUAUGUUUACUGUCAUUCUGAUGGAAGAUAAAACUCUAUCUAAUAUCUAUUGGAGUAUGCAAAACUAAGAAGUUAGGAUGUUAAGAAGUGAGGAUACUGUUAUAGAAGUCAAAUCAACUAUGACAUUCUUCUGCUGACACGGAAGUGAAACUACGCACAAGUGGACUGUGCUUACUCAUUAUAUAACAGGAUGUAGUUGGUUGCACUAGUUUUUAUUUAGCUUUAACAGAGUAAAGGAGACUGUACACAAAACACACACCAUAUUUAUACGAUUUCUAUUUGUAAAAUAAAUCUGUCUUUUAUCUUCUUGUUCAUCAAUAUACACUGCAUGUUCUACUGUGUAAAAUCCCAGUGACAUAUAUAGAAGUUUGUUGUUUUAUCAUGACAAAAUGUCAAAAUUCCAAUUUGUAAGAAAACUUUUGAAUUAGGUUGCAAAUUCUACUAUUUUGAGUUGUUUUUUUGUUGUUUUUGUUUUGUGCAAUGGACAAUAUGUGUAGUUUAUGAUGCAUUAUGGGCUCAACUAGUUGUGUGCUUAAUUAAUUUUAUUUUACCAAUGUGUUUCACUUUUUGCCCUGUAAAUACUGAAUGCUGAUUGCAAUAAUGUUUUGGUUAGUAAGCCAAUGGCUUCAAUGUUCGCUAUGUCCACUUCAUUUAUGUAAAGUGAAUAAGUAAAUCUCUAUCCAAUUCUUUGAAAACGUACACAUUUUGGAGCCAACAGUGUGAAAAUAAAUAAAUUUACAACCAUU
This is a long non-coding RNA of Poecilia latipinna (sailfin molly), 1803 nucleotides long. RefSeq lists it as uncharacterized. The transcript is spliced from 3 exons. The record is from RefSeq and is a predicted model, not a curated record. Lineage: Eukaryota; Metazoa; Chordata; Actinopteri; Cyprinodontiformes; Poeciliidae.